GGGUGUGGCUUGGUUUCUUGGAUACGGAACCUUAUGUGGGCAUGGGGUCGCCUUAGCGACCCCGCCUUUGCCNUCNUNAAGCGUUCUUGCUUCAANANAACAACACNCGGUCGUGCAUCGACUUGUUCGAUCAUGAUCGUUGUUGUCAAANAANGAUGCUACCUGGUUGAUCCUGCCAGNANUCAGUAUCCUAUGGAUCGAUGUGGCACGGGUAGGGGAAAAUCUCGAUUGGAGUUGCGAGGCGUUGACGCGGCCUGGACGGAGUUUUAUUCCGUGUUGGUUUGCUGAAAUUGUCGGAGCAUUCUCCCGUCGAUGUGCAGUAACCUGCCUUGUGACAAGGUAUCCUAUGGAUCGAUGUGGCACACGUAGGGGAAAAUCUCGAUUGGAGUUGCGAGGCGUUGACGCAGCCUGGACGGAGUUUACCUUCGUGUCGUGCGAUGCCGGUGUUUACGUGUUUUUUGUCCCGAUGAGACCCGAUUGCUAGGUGUACGUUGGAUUGGUGUGGUGCGGCCCGUUGCGAUUCCGUGUCGGUUUGCUGAAAUUGUCGGAGCAUUCUCCCGUCGAUGUGCAGUAACCUGCGUAGUGACAAGGUAUCCUAUGGAUCGAUGUGGCACGGGUAGGGGAAAAUCUCGAUUGGAGUUGCGAGGCGUUGACGCGGCCUGGACGGAGUUUUAUUCCGUGUUGGUUUGCUGAAAUUGUCGGAGCAUUCUCCCGUCGAUGUGCAGUAACCUGCCUUGUGACAAGGUAUCCUAUGGAUCGAUGUGGCACACGUAGGGGAAAAUCUCGAUUGGAGUUGCGAGGCGUUGACGCAGCUUGGACGGAGUUUACCUUCGUGUCGUGCGACAUCAUGGUUUUUGUGUUUCUCGUACCGUUCGGUGCAUUUCGGGAGCUUCUUCGUGCUNGUAGUUGUUUGCCUGGUGUUCGUGCCGGGUUUGUGGCUACUUGUGUGGGUCGUUUCAUGGAAUGAAUAUCGUAAAGGUGCAUGAGUGGUGCUUGGUGUGUUGCUGGUGGUUGGAUGACUGCAUUCGCAGCAACGUCCAUUGGGGCAUACCUCUUCAUUUACGGCGAACGGUUUUUUCGCAACCGGGAGCAUUUGUUGGGUUUUCCUGUGCUGUGUACCUACUUUAGGGCAUGCUAUCGGUUGGUUAAUGUGGAUUUUCAUUCAACGUCACUCGCGUGGCGUGGUUUGAACUAGAUUUCUUUUUGCACNAAUGUACAUAUAGNGGCGUNGUGNGUUAAGAAGAGUCCAUUUUGUNNGGCUUGGUGNUUUGGNUNCGGAACCUUAUGUGNGCAUGGGGUCGCCUNAGCGACCCCGCCNUUGCCCUCGUCAAGCGUUCNNGNUUCAAAAAAACAACACGCGGUCGNGCAUCGACUGUUCGCUC
Molecule: unclassified non-coding RNA, 1382 nt
Filed under: Nassauvia digitata
Lineage: Eukaryota; Viridiplantae; Streptophyta; Magnoliopsida; Asterales; Asteraceae
Description: partial external transcribed spacer
Source: RNAcentral